Molecule: ribosomal RNA, 146 nt
Filed under: uncultured bacterium
Lineage: Bacteria
Description: partial 16S ribosomal RNA
Rfam family: Bacterial small subunit ribosomal RNA
Source: RNAcentral
CCUACGGGAGGCAGCCAGUAGGGAAAUCUUCGGCGAAUGGGCGAAAGCCUGACCGAGCAACGCCGCGUGAGCGAUGAAGGCCUUCGGGUCGUAAAGCUCUGUUGUUAGAGAAGAACAAGUACGAGAGUAACUGCUCGUACCUGACG